ACCUCUCGUGACCUCACCUAACCUCUGCUCACCUCUUCUGACUUGACCUGACCUCUCCAGGGGCGGCGUCAGCAUAGAGAUAGAGAAGACCCCCACAAGGACCACCUCCAAAUUGUUCCUGACGAGGGCGAUGAAGGAUGACUCCGGCAACUACACUUGUGCCCCGCAGUUCGCUGACGCCGCUUCUGUCCUCGUUCACGUCGUCAAUGGGGAAGAGUCAGCCGCUGUCCACACCGCGAGAAGUGCAGAAGUCACGAGCAGCUGGUUGGUGGUGACCUGCUGCCAGCUGUUGUUGAUGCUGUGUUGCUGCUGCAGCUGACCCAAUACCGCUGGGAUCAGAGCGUUGAUGUACUGAUACUCCGAGUCUUCACCGAGACACUGUACAGGUGGGUGUAAGUGGUGAUGGUGUAGGUGGUGA
This is a long non-coding RNA of Homarus americanus (American lobster), 418 nucleotides long. RefSeq lists it as uncharacterized. Lineage: Eukaryota; Metazoa; Arthropoda; Malacostraca; Decapoda; Nephropidae. The record is from RefSeq and is a predicted model, not a curated record. The transcript is spliced from 3 exons.